CUACGGGAGGCAGCAGUGGGGAAUAUUGCACAAUGGGCGGAUGCCUGAUGCAGCAACGCCGAGUGCGGGAUGACGGCCUUCGGGUUGUAAACCGCUUUCGCCUGUGAGGAAGCGUGAGU
This 119-nucleotide ribosomal RNA is filed under the name Propionibacterium sp. enrichment culture clone gang 3. RNAcentral describes it as "partial 16S ribosomal RNA". It matches the Rfam family "Bacterial small subunit ribosomal RNA", at positions 339 to 457 of the family's 1533-position model. The record is from RNAcentral. Lineage: Bacteria; Bacillati; Actinomycetota; Actinomycetes; Propionibacteriales; Propionibacteriaceae.